This 2990-nucleotide long non-coding RNA is filed under the name Sus scrofa (pig). RNAcentral describes it as "lncRNA (ENSSSCG00060024560.1)". The record is from RNAcentral. Lineage: Eukaryota; Metazoa; Chordata; Mammalia; Artiodactyla; Suidae.
UUUUUUUUUUUUUUUUUUUGUCUUUUUAGGACCGUACCCAUAGUAUAUGGAGGUUCCCAGGCUAGGGGCUGAGUCGGAGCUGCAGUUGUGGGGCUACACCUCAGCCACAGCCACAGCCACAGCCACAGCCACGAGGGAUUCCCGACCCACUGAGCAAGGCCAGGGAUUGAGCCUUGUCCUCAUGGAUUCUAGUCCGGUUUGUCACCGCGGAGCCACGACAGGAACUCCUGAAACGCAUUUUUACAUAUGUCACAUAACAUGGGUCAGAACCUCAAAAUCUCAAAAUCGUGGCUGCCCCCCCAGAGUGCAGGCCACUCAGACUCCAACCAGCAGUCCUCAAGAAGAUCACCUGCUCCCUCUGUUCAAAGGUCUGCUUGUUGCUUACUGAUUGUCUUUUUGUCGUGGGAAUGUGCCUGCUCCCCUGGUUCUCCGUGUGCUCUGCCCUGGCACAGUGUGUUGCGGGGCAGGGCAGCGAGGCCCGAGGAGGGCAUAGGUUAUUAUCUAAGGACACAGGGCACUGUCAGGUGCAUAGCCCCAAACCUGCCACCCACCCGAGGAGAGUUCUUACACAGUGACAAUUCCCGGCAGUGUCUUGUUACAUUAGCCUUUCCUUUUCUUUCUAGAUUUAAAACACUUCCCUGAUGUAUAAGUAAUUUCUUUAAAAAAUCUGGAAGUAGCUAUAAUGUUACAGCAGGAAGUUAGCAUUAGGAGACCAAAGUUUCAAUUUCCCCCCAUUAUUUUGUUCUUCAUUUAUUGAAUAGCAGCCUAGACUUUAAUCUGUAGGUUAGCAUAAAGUUCUGUGCCCCCUGCAGGAGGCUGGAGCCAAUAGUGCCGUCAUUCAAUUGCCACUUUAAGGCUCCGCUUAUCCUUGCAGCUCACACUCCUUCCCCAUCUCCACACCUUGGGCAAUCACAUGUUUCUUAACAGCCAGAUUUAUUUAUUUAUUAUUAUUAUUGCUUUUUAUAGCUGCACUCAUGGCAUGUGGAGGUUCUCAGGCUAGGGGUCUACACCACAGCCACAGCAACGCAGGAUCUGAGCCACAUCUGCAACCUACGCCACAGCUCACGGCAAUGCCAGAUCCUUAACCCACUGGGCAAGGCCAGGGAUUGAACCCGUGUCCUCAUGGAUGCGAGUAAGAUUCGUUAACAACUGAGCCAGGAUGGGAACUCCUUAACAGCCAGCUUUUAAUUAGUUCUCUCUCUCUCUCCUUUUCCCAAUAAUCUAAUGUAACUACGAGAGAAAAAUCUUGCUUUGCAUUGCUCUGACUCUAGUCUAGUGCUGCCCAAACAACCUAUGGUAAGGGGCUGAUUUCUUUACAUUUCCACUGCAACUUUGUAAAAUGCAAUCAAAUGUAAAUUAGCAGAAGUGAGAAUUUUAAAAUCUAAAGGAAAUGGGAGUUUCCACUGUGGCACAAUGGGUUAAUGAUCUCUCUUGUCUCUGUGGUGGUGCUGGUUCGAUCCCCAGCCGAGCACAGUGGGUUAAAGGAUCUGAAGUUGCUGCAGCUGUGGUGUAGGUUGCAGCUGUGGCUCGGAUUCAAGCCCUGGUCUGGGAACUUCCAUAUGCCACAGAUGUGGCAAUAAAAUUUAAAAAAGAAAGAAAAAAGAAAUUGCUGCAGCCACCCCAACCUUCAGACACCACUGCCCUGAUCAGUCAGCAGUCAUCAACACUGAGGAAGACUCUCCAACAGCAAAUAGAUUACAAUUCCCUGAAGAAUGUAGCAUAAUGACAGGUAGCAUUUUUUAGCAAUAAAGUCUUUUUUUUUUUUGGCUGCAUCAGCAGCACACAAAAAUUCCCAGGAAGGGAUUGAACCUGCACCACAGCAGCGACAAUGCUUAACCUGCUGUGCCAAAAGAGAACACCAGCAAUGAAGUAUUUUAUUUUUUAUUUUUUGCUUUAUUUAUUUAUUUUUUUUUAGGGCCAAACCCUCGGCAUAUGGAGGUUCCCAGGCUAGGGGUCUAAUUGGAGCUGUAGUUGCCAACCUACACCUCAGCCACAGCAACUCUGGAUCCCAGCUGAAUCUGUGACCUACACCACAGCUCAUGGCAAUGGUGGAUCCUUAACCCACUGAGCGGGGCCAGGGAUCAAACAAGCAUCCUCAUGCAUCCUGGUUGGGUUCAUUACCCGUGAGCCACAAUAGGAACUCCCCAAACCCAUUUCUCUAACUCUAUUUCCCACUAUUCUUUUUAUCCACCUUUGAGCCAAACUUAAUUCUCUACUUUUUCUCAGACAUGCCCCAAGGUCUCCUGUCUACAUGCCUUUCUUCAUGUUACUUCCCUGGCCUGGAACACCCCUUUCCAGGUCACCCCAUCCGCUUUAGCUCAUCUCAAGUACCGUCUCCACAAAGCCUCUUUCUUCCUCUCAGAAGUGACUGCUCCCCCUUGGGAAGUCCCCAGAGCUUUAGCUGUCUCAUCCUUUUCUCUUUCUGUGUUUCUUUCUUUCUCUCUGUCUCCCUUUCUCUCUCUCUUUCUCUCCCUUUCUCUCUCUUUCUCUCUCUCUCUCUCUCUCUCUCUCUCGUAUUUUUACAGCCACAUAUGGAGGUUCCCAGGCUAGGAGUCUAAUCAGCUGUAGCAACUGGCCUACACCAGAGCCACAGCAACUCGGGAUCCCAGCCUCGUCUGCAACCUACACCACAGCUCACGGCAACGCCGGAUCCUUAACCCACUGAGCAAGGCCAGGGAUCGAACCUGGGUCCUCACGGAUUCUAGUCAGAUUCAUUUCCACUGAGCCACGACCGGAACUCCUGUAUCAUCCUUUUCAUCUUCGAGCUCUUGUCUCCUCUACUAGAUCCUAAGCACCCCUUAGGGCAGGGAGUGCCUUUCAUCCACUCCCAUAUAUUCAGUUCUUUGGAUAGCGUAGGUACUCAGCAAAUGUUGGUUGAAUUAAGGACUAUCAUUUGUAAAGCAUGGAAAGGGUGAGCAGAAGGCUGUUUGAGAAUAGGGAACGGGUAAAUUACUCGGAGAGAAGAAACCAAAAAAAAAAAAAAAAAAAAA